This 500-nucleotide ribosomal RNA is filed under the name uncultured Glomeromycotina. Its description in RNAcentral is "partial small subunit ribosomal RNA". It matches the Rfam family "Eukaryotic small subunit ribosomal RNA", at positions 591 to 1092 of the family's 1831-position model. The record is from RNAcentral. Lineage: Eukaryota; Fungi; Glomeromycota.
CCAAUAGCGUAUAUUAAAGUUGUUGCAGUUAAAAAGCUCGUAGUUGAACCUCGGGAUCAAUGGAUUGGUCAUGCCGUUGGUAUGUACUGGUCACAUUGGUUCUCACCUUCUAAGGAACCAUGAUGUCAUUCAUUUGAUGUUGUGGGGAAUUAGGACUGUUACCUUGAAAAAAUUAGAGUGUUUAAAGCAGGCUAACGCUUGAAUACAUUAGCAUGGAAUAAUGAAAUAGGACAUCGCAUUCUAUUUUGUUGGUUUCUAGGAUCGAUGUAAUGAUUAAUAGGGAUAGUUGGGGGCAUUAGUAUUCAAUUGUCAGAGGUGAAAUUCUUGGAUUUAUUGAAGACUAACUACUGCGAAAGCAUUUGCCAAGGAUGUUUUCAUUAAUCAAGAACGAAAGUUAGGGGAUCGAAGACGAUCAGAUACCGUCGUAGUCUUAACCAUAAACUAUGCCGACUAGGGAUCGGAUGAUGUUGAUUUUUUAAUGACUCAUUCGGCACCUUACG